GAAACGCGAUAGGUAAUGUGAAUUGCAGAAUUCCGUGAAUCAUCGAAUCUUUGAACGCACAUUGCGCCUUCUGGUAUUCCGGUAGGCAUGUCUGUCUGAGCGUCAGCAAACACCCCUCGGCUAGGCUUUUUUCGGAAAGCUCACGCCGGUCUUGGGAUUUGGAUGCCAGGGCCUAAACAGCCCCCGCGCCUGCCCUAAACUUGCUGCACGACCGCUGGCUUCGGCUGGGUCAAUGGAGUGGUGUCACAAUCUUCCAGAAGGCCUUCUUGAGCACGGUGGCGUUAAACCCGCAGUCACCCUCGCUGGUGACCGACGUUUUGACCUCAGAUCAGAUAAGGAUACCCGCUGAACUUAA
RNAcentral lists this unclassified non-coding RNA (355 nucleotides) under uncultured Orbiliaceae. RNAcentral's name for it is "sequence contains ITS1". The stretch from base 1 to 105 matches the Rfam family "5.8S ribosomal RNA", at positions 50 to 154 of the family's 154-position model. The record is from RNAcentral. Lineage: Eukaryota; Fungi; Ascomycota; Orbiliomycetes; Orbiliales.